GCACCCGUAGCUCAGCUGGAUAGAGCAUCGGCUUGCGGAGCCGGGGGUCGUAGGUUCGAAUCCUGCCGGGUGCACCA
Molecule: transfer RNA, 77 nt
Filed under: Candidatus Peregrinibacteria bacterium
Lineage: Bacteria; Candidatus Peregrinibacteriota
Description: tRNA-Arg
Rfam family: tRNA
About the family: Transfer RNA (tRNA) molecules are approximately 80 nucleotides in length. Their secondary structure includes four short double-helical elements and three loops (D, anti-codon, and T loops).
Source: RNAcentral